RNAcentral lists this ribosomal RNA (26 nucleotides) under Ichthyophonus hoferi. RNAcentral describes it as "partial 18S ribosomal RNA". Lineage: Eukaryota; Ichthyosporea; Ichthyophonida; Ichthyophonidae. The record is from RNAcentral.
CCGUAGGUGAACCUGCGGAAGGAUCU